GACGAACGCUGGCGGCGUGCUUAACACAUGCAAGUCGAACGCUGAAGCUCAGCUUUUGUUGGGUGGAUGAGUGGCGAACGGGUGAGUAACACGUGAGUAACCUGCCCCCUUCUUUGGGAUAACGCCCGGAAACGGGUGCUAAUACUGGAUAUUCACUGGUCUUCGCAUGGGGGUUGGUGGAAAGGGUUUUUCUGGUGGGGGAUGGGCUCGCGGCCUAUCAGCUUGUUGGUGGGGUGAUGGCCUACCAAGGCUUUGACGGGUAGCCGGCCUGAGAGGGUGACCGGUCACAUUGGGACUGAGAUGCGGCCCAGGCUACUACGGGGGGCAGCAGUGGGGAAUAUUGCACAAUGGGCGCAAGACUGAUGCAGCGACGCCGCGUGAGGGAUGGAGGCCUUCGGGUUGUGAACCUCUUUAGCUCAUGGUCAAGCCGCAACAAUGGUUGUGGUGAGGGUAGUGGGUAAAGAAGCGCCGGCUAACUACGUG
RNAcentral lists this ribosomal RNA (483 nucleotides) under uncultured bacterium. Its description in RNAcentral is "partial 16S ribosomal RNA". It matches the Rfam family "Bacterial small subunit ribosomal RNA", at positions 28 to 507 of the family's 1533-position model. The record is from RNAcentral.